UACGUAGAUGGCAAGCGUUGUCCGGAAUUAUUGGGCGUAAAGCGCGCGCAGGCGGUCCUUUAAGUCUGAUGUGAAAGCCCACGGCUCAACCGUGGAGGGUCAUUGGAAACUGGGGGACUUGAGUACAGAAGAGAAGAGUGGAAUUCCACGUGUAGCGGUGAAAUGCGUAGAGAUGUGGAGGAACACCAGUGGCGAAGGCGACUCUUUGGUCUGUAACUGACGCUGAGGCGCGAAAGCGUGGGGAGCAAACAGG
RNAcentral lists this ribosomal RNA (253 nucleotides) under uncultured bacterium. RNAcentral describes it as "partial 16S ribosomal RNA". It matches the Rfam family "Bacterial small subunit ribosomal RNA", at positions 524 to 776 of the family's 1533-position model. The record is from RNAcentral.